AAAGUCGCCAGGACAACACGCUCCAUUUCCUUUUGGAAAAAGCAUGAAUAUACUGACUUAUCUCUCUCUUUAUAUAUAGUAGGCCUAGGCCACCAGGACACACGCUGCAGCCAGACAGGAUGGGGAGACGGGCAGAGAUAGAGUGGCCGACAGAUAUUGAUCCAACAGGGAGACAGCCAGAGGAAAUACAGACUCGUCACAGUCACACUCACAGCACACCUAUUAAAAGAGGGAUGGAUGAUUAAAACAACAACAAUAUUAACAUAAAAAAAAACUCAG
Pimephales promelas (fathead minnow) is the source of this 279-nucleotide non-coding RNA. The record is from RefSeq and is a predicted model, not a curated record. NCBI's taxonomy places the organism in Eukaryota, Metazoa, Chordata, Actinopteri, Cypriniformes, Leuciscidae.